ACGCUCGACACCUACGGGAGGGCAGCAGUGGGGGAUAUUGCACAAUGGGGGGGAACCCUGAUGCAGCGACGCCGCGUGAGGGAAGAAGGUUUUUCGGAUUGUAAACCUCUGUCCUCAGGGAAGAAGAUGACGGUACCUGAGGAGGAAGCCACGGCUAACUACGUGCCAGUAGCCGCGGUAAUCUGAGCGGGCUGGCGAAGGC
This 202-nucleotide ribosomal RNA is filed under the name uncultured bacterium. Its description in RNAcentral is "partial 16S ribosomal RNA". It matches the Rfam family "Bacterial small subunit ribosomal RNA", at positions 328 to 540 of the family's 1533-position model. The record is from RNAcentral.